GCGUGGAGACAGGUGGUGCAUGGCUGUCGUCAGCUCGUGUCGUGAGAUGUUGGGUUAAGUCCCGCAACGAGCGCAACCCUCACCCCUUGUUGCCAUCAGGUCAUGCUGGGCACUCUAGGGGAACUGCCCCGGUCAACGGGGAGGAAGGCGGGGAUGACGUCAAGUCAUCAUGCCCCUUACGUCCUGGGCUACACACUUGCUACAAUGGCCGGUACAAAGGGAUGCAACGCCGCGAGGCAGAGCCAAACCCAAAAAGCCGGUCUAAGUUCAGAUUGGAGUCUGCAACUCGACUCCAUGAAGGAGGAAUCGCUAGUAAUCGCGUAUCAGCACGACGCGGUGAAUACGUUCCCGGGCCUUGUACACACCGCCCGUCACACCACGAAAGCCAGCUGUACUCGAAGUCGCUGAG
RNAcentral lists this ribosomal RNA (409 nucleotides) under uncultured Methylomirabilota bacterium. RNAcentral's name for it is "bacterial SSU rRNA". It matches the Rfam family "Bacterial small subunit ribosomal RNA", at positions 1026 to 1434 of the family's 1533-position model. Lineage: Bacteria; Methylomirabilota (SeqCode). The record is from RNAcentral.